RNAcentral lists this ribosomal RNA (233 nucleotides) under uncultured bacterium. RNAcentral's name for it is "partial 16S ribosomal RNA". It matches the Rfam family "Bacterial small subunit ribosomal RNA", at positions 15 to 245 of the family's 1533-position model. The record is from RNAcentral.
GAUCCUGCUCAGGAUGAACGCUAGCGACAGGCUUAACACAUGCAAGUCGAGGGGCAGCACAGGUAGCAAUACCGGGUGGCGACCGGCGCACGGGUGAGUAACGCGUAUGCAACUUGCCUAUCAGAGGGGGAUAACCCGGCGAAAGUCGGACUAAUACCGCAUGAAGCAGGGGCCCCGCAUGGGGAUAUUUGCUAAAGAUUCAUCGCUGAUAGAUAGGCAUGCGUUCCAUUAGG